UACGAGGGGAGCUAGCGUUAUUCGGAAUUACUGGGCGUAAAGCGCACGUAGGCGGCUUUGUAAGUCAGGGGUGAAAGCCUGGUGCUCAACACCAGAACUGCCCUUGAGACUGCAAGGCUUGAAUCCAGGAGAGGUGAGUGGAAUUCCGAGUGUAGAGGUGAAAUUCGUAGAUAUUCGGAAGAACACCAGUGGCGAAGGCGGCUCACUGGACUGGUAUUGACGCUGAGGUGCGAGAGCGUGGGGAGCAAAC
Molecule: ribosomal RNA, 250 nt
Filed under: uncultured bacterium
Lineage: Bacteria
Description: partial 16S ribosomal RNA
Rfam family: Bacterial small subunit ribosomal RNA
Source: RNAcentral